Molecule: ribosomal RNA, 301 nt
Filed under: uncultured bacterium
Lineage: Bacteria
Description: partial 16S ribosomal RNA
Rfam family: Bacterial small subunit ribosomal RNA
Source: RNAcentral
CAGCACCGCGGGAAUACGAAGGGUGCAAGCGUUACUCGGAAUUACUGGGCGUAAAGCGUGCGUAGGUGGUGGUUUAAGUCCGUUGUGAAAGCCCUGGGCUCAACCUGGGAAUUGCAGUGGAUACUGGGUCACUAGAGUGUGGUAGAGGAUAGUGGAAUUUCCGGUGUAGCAGUGAAAUGCGUAGAGAUCGGAAGGAACAUCUGUGGCGAAGGCGACUAUCUGGGCCAACACUGACACUGAGGCACGAAAGCGUGGGGAGCAAACAGGAUUAGAUACCCCCGUAGUCCCUGUCUCUUAUACA